This 468-nucleotide ribosomal RNA is filed under the name uncultured bacterium. Its description in RNAcentral is "partial 16S ribosomal RNA". It matches the Rfam family "Bacterial small subunit ribosomal RNA", at positions 28 to 507 of the family's 1533-position model. The record is from RNAcentral.
GACGAACGCUGGCGGCGUGCUUAACACAUGCAAGUCGAACGGAAAGGCCCUGCUUUUGUGGGGUGCUCGAGUGGCGAGCGGGUGAGUAACACGUGAGUAACCUGCCCUUGACUUUGGGAUAACUUCAGGAAACUGGGGCUAAUACCGGAUAGGAGCUCCUGCUGCAUGGUGGGGGUUGGAAAGUUUCGGCGGUUGGGGAUGGACUCGCGGGUUAUCAGCUUGUUGGGGGGGUAGUGGCCUACCAAGGCUUUGACGGGUAGCCGGCCUGAGAGGGUGACCGGCCACAUUGGGACUGAGAUACGGCCCAGACUCCUACGGGAGGCAGCAGUGGGGAAUAUUGCACAAUGGGCGGAAGCCUGAUGCAGCAACGCCGCGUGCGGGAUGACGGCCUUCGGGUUGUAAACCGCUUUCGCCUGUGACGAAGCGUGAGUGACGGUAAUGGGUAAAGAAGCACCGGCUAACUACGUG